UUUUAAAAAUUUCAUCAAUUUUUACUAUUAAAAACCGAUACGACUGACUAAAGAGUUAGAUAGUUACAUAUGACGUGCCAUGUAUAUUUUAGAUUGACAUAUAUAGACCAAUUUUUAACAAUAAAUAUAGAUAAAAAUUUUAAAA
This is a non-coding RNA of Gossypium raimondii (Peruvian cotton), 145 nucleotides long. NCBI's taxonomy places the organism in Eukaryota, Viridiplantae, Streptophyta, Magnoliopsida, Malvales, Malvaceae. The record is from Rfam.